This is a long non-coding RNA of Aegilops tauschii subsp. strangulata, 556 nucleotides long. RefSeq lists it as uncharacterized. Lineage: Eukaryota; Viridiplantae; Streptophyta; Magnoliopsida; Poales; Poaceae. The record is from RefSeq and is a predicted model, not a curated record.
UUUCAUGCACAUUUGGUGUAUUAUCUUCUGACCUUCAAGAACUAUCUUCACUGUCUCUCCCCGCUGCAUUGUCUCACUCGUUCUCCUUCUAUUUACUCUGGGCAGGCAUGAUGUACAUCUGGUGGUCGUCAAGUCAAGGAACCUCCUCUUCUUGCUGCGGCAGUCCUCCUCCCGCUGCUCUGCUCUGCUCAACAGCUAGCGUCCAUGGCUAAAACAAAGGGCGACUAGUGAUGCGGCACAGCAAGCAGUAGCAGGCACCCGAAGCAGCAGCAGCAGGGGGAGGGGGUCUCUCGAACGUCGCUACUGUCACUGAUUGAUGAUGGAUGAUCUCUCUCCCUCUCUUGCAAGCGUCUAUAAAUGCUGGUAGAAAUAGAAAUGGUAGCUAUAGUCCCAUGUUGUUGUAGUCCCAUGUAGUUCCUUCUCUCGGACUGCCCUUUGUUGCUUCAUUUCUAUGUUAAUUCAGUCUCUGUCAAAUGUAUCCACUAUCUAUUAUCGUGGCUGUGUAAUGAAUCCUUUUGUGUUGAAAGAAAUAAAAUGGUUUGGAUACAUUUGUACA